CAAAGGAUAACGUUAGGGUGUAUAGGGUAGGCUGAAACAAGGAAAAUAAAAAUCAAAGUAUGUGUGGCAUUUUUGUGGGGGUAGAAGGAAUGGUAGAAUGAAUGGAUGUUCAGAAGUAAUAAUAAAUGAUAAGAAAAUAAAAAUCAGAAGACUUUUCACUUCUUCUUUUUUUUUAUACUUUUCGUUUUUUUUAAUUUUCGUAACUUUUUUUAACACUUCAAAUACAAUAUAUUGAAUUCAAGAAGAAUAAAAUACCACUUGAUUUUUUUUAUUUUUUUAUUUUUUUCACGUUAUGAACCUACUCUAAGCUUGAUACGAUUGUCGAUGC
Molecule: long non-coding RNA, 328 nt
Filed under: Gossypium raimondii (Peruvian cotton)
Lineage: Eukaryota; Viridiplantae; Streptophyta; Magnoliopsida; Malvales; Malvaceae
Description: long non-coding RNA (GRAI_LNC010514)
Source: RNAcentral